This 429-nucleotide ribosomal RNA is filed under the name uncultured bacterium. RNAcentral describes it as "bacterial SSU rRNA". It matches the Rfam family "Bacterial small subunit ribosomal RNA", at positions 355 to 775 of the family's 1533-position model. The record is from RNAcentral.
UAGGGAAUUGUUCGCAAUGGGCGCAAGCCUGACGACGCAACGCCGCGUGGAGGAUGAAGGUCUUCGGAUUGUAAACUCCUGUCGUGUGGGACGAACAUUCGCUUUUCUAAUACAAGAGCGGACUGACGGUACCACGAAAGGAAGCCCCGGCUAACUCUGUGCCAGCAGCCGCGGUAAUACAGAGGGGGCGAGCGUUGUUCGGAAUUACUGGGCGUAAAGGGCGCGUAGGCGGCCUGCUAAGUCAUACGUGAAAUCCCAUGGCUCAACCAUGGAACUGCGUGUGAUACUGGCGGGCUUGAAUUCGGGAGAGGGAUGCGGAAUUCCAGGUGUAGCGGUGAAAUGCGUAGAUAUCUGGAGGAACACCGGUGGCGAAGGCGGCAUCCUGGACCGAGAUUGACGCUGAGGCGCGAAAGCCAGGGGAGCAAACGG